UACGUAGGGGGCAAGCGUUGUCCGGAAUCAUUGGGCGUAAAGAGCGCGUAGGCGGCCCUGUAAGUCCGCUGUGAAAGUCAAGGGCUCAACCCUUGAAUGCCGGUGGAUACUGCAGGGCUAGAGUCCGGAAGAGGCGAGUGGAAUUCCUGGUGUAGCGGUGAAAUGCGCAGAUAUCAGGAGGAACACCGGUGGCGAAGGGCGGGUCUCUGGGCCGAUACUGACGCUGAGGAGCGAAAAGCGUGGGGGAGCGAACAGG
Molecule: ribosomal RNA, 256 nt
Filed under: uncultured bacterium
Lineage: Bacteria
Description: partial 16S ribosomal RNA
Rfam family: Bacterial small subunit ribosomal RNA
Source: RNAcentral